RNAcentral lists this long non-coding RNA (1347 nucleotides) under Physcomitrium patens. RNAcentral describes it as "long non-coding RNA (PPAT_LNC000824)". Lineage: Eukaryota; Viridiplantae; Streptophyta; Bryopsida; Funariales; Funariaceae. The record is from RNAcentral.
UGAGGUUAAAUAUACAUGAUUUCUUUUUUGCGAGUUAUCUGCUUUAAUAAUUGUUUGCUUGUGAUUGCUGGUGCUCUUUAGUGUGGAAAUUCUACACAUGUUUUCAAUUGAAAACAUGUAUUUGUACGGAUAUGGAUUAGAUGAUGCCCAUUUACUCUGUCUUUCUAGUUACAAUUGCUAACAGUUGACAAUCACCUUUAUUUAAGAUAAGGUCAUUUAUAUAGAUGAUUAAUGUUUGCACAAUUUUGUUUAUUUCUUCUGCAAAAACAAUAGUCAAAGCUUCUAUCAAUCUUACAUAGUGCAUUUAAUAAAAACAAGAUUGAUAUUAUUUGAUUGAAAAUUAUCCUUGUUGACAAGAAAAAUUUUAAUCACAUUUGACAGUGCACAUAUUAGCAGCAACUCAGAUUAAAUUUGUACAUGAUACAAGCUUCAAGUAUGAAAUAUUAUUGCUAGAUUUAAGGAUCUGUGUACCACCUUGAACAUAUUUAAUAAGUAAUUUUUUUAAAAUGUUUGAAAAUGUGUUUUAUUUAAUUAUUAAAUUUAGUAUCAGUUUGGGUUAUUAUUUAAGGAGACAAUUGCCCAAAGAAACAAUGUUGAUUGAUAAUUGAUUUCAAAUUCUUAUCAAUCACUCUCUGAUGAUGUCUUCAAAACAUUUCGAGAACUUUCUACAACUUUUUUUUCAGAAGUUUAAUAAAUAUGUUUUUAUAAACUUAUUUUUUGGAAUGACAAAAACAAAUUUUGCUUUCACAAAGCUUCAAACCACGAGUUAUUAGGAGCUCAAACAACAAGUUUCCAAAAUUGAAAUGUAGAAUUGUAACUUUGCUUAAGAUUUGCUCAUUUCUUUAAUAUUAACCUUUUUUCUACCUUUAAUACAUUUACAACAAUAUUUUUCCUUGCAAUACUGUGGAAAACAUCCAUUGUUUUUAUUAAUAAAAUAAAAUAAAUCGAAUUAAAAAAUUAAUAUGUGUUGGAGCAUCAAAUUGUACUUAUAAUAUAAAAUUAAAAUUUAAGAUAUAUAUAUAUAUAUAUAUAUAUAUAUACAUACAUAUGUUUUUUGCAAAUGUCACCACAGUUUUUGUUAGUAUUACCAUAACUUUUGUUACUGCCACCACAACAUACCGCCCAUUUGACAUAUUUUUCAUUUCUAUGUAGUCAUUUUUUUUUUUAAUAUAUUUAAUCAAAUGGUAUGAAAGUGAUUGAACAAAAUAAAUAAAUAAAAUUAAUGUUUGAAAUGUUUUGAACAAAGAUGACAGGCAGUGGAUGGAAGAUUGCAAUGGCAAUAGCAAAAUUUGUGGUGGCAGCAACAAUACCCUAUCUCUAUAUAUAAAUCAAGGAGAAUAUUUUGUU